AUUGAACGCUGGCGGCAGGCCUAACACAUGCAAGUCGAGCGAGCGGCGGACGGGUGAGUAAUGUAUGGGAAACCGCCUGAUGGAGGGGGAUAACUACUGGAAACGGUAGCUAAUACCGCAUACCAUCGGAUGUGCCCAAUGGGGAUUAGCUAGUAGGUGGGGUAAAGGCUCACCUAGGCGACGAUCCCUAGCUGGUCUGAGCGGAUGACCAGCCACACUGGAACUGAGACACGGUCCAGACUCCUACGGGAGGCAGCAGUGGGGAAUAUUGCGCAAUGGGCGCAAGCCUGAUGCAGCCAUGCCGCGUGUAUGAAGAAGGCCUUCGGGUUGUAAAGUACUUUCAGCGGAGAGGCGGAACCCGAAAAAGAAGCACCGGCUAACUCCGUGCCAGCAGCCGCGGUAAUUA
RNAcentral lists this ribosomal RNA (406 nucleotides) under uncultured bacterium. RNAcentral describes it as "partial 16S ribosomal RNA". It matches the Rfam family "Bacterial small subunit ribosomal RNA", at positions 30 to 525 of the family's 1533-position model. The record is from RNAcentral.